CCUAAGGCCAGCGAGAGAACUGUUGUUAAGGAACUCGGCAAAAUGACCCCGUAACUUAGGGAUAAGGGGUGCCCCCAUCAGGUGGCCGCAGAGAAUAGGCCCAAGCGACUGUUUACCAAAAACAUAGGUUUCUGCUAAGUCGCAAGACGAUGUAUAGGAGCUGACGCCUGCCCGGUGCUGGAAGGUUAAGGGGAUCUGUUAGAG
RNAcentral lists this ribosomal RNA (204 nucleotides) under Clostridioides difficile. RNAcentral's name for it is "partial 23S ribosomal RNA". It matches the Rfam family "Bacterial large subunit ribosomal RNA", at positions 1680 to 1895 of the family's 2925-position model. The record is from RNAcentral. Lineage: Bacteria; Bacillati; Bacillota; Clostridia; Peptostreptococcales; Peptostreptococcaceae.